GUCCUAGCUGUAAACGAUGGCAACUAGGUGUGGGAGGUAUCGACCCCUCCUGUGCCGACGCUAACGCAUUAAGUUGCCCGCCUGGGGAGUACGGCCGCAAGGUUAAAACUCAAAGGAAUUGACGGGGGCCCGCACAAGCGGUGGAGCAUGUGGUUUAAUUCGACGCUACGCGAAGAACCUUACCUGGGCUCGAACGACUGGUGGUACUCCUUCCGAAAGGUUGGGGGACCCGCAAGGGAGCCAGCCGAGGUGCUGCAUGGGUUGUCGU
Molecule: ribosomal RNA, 268 nt
Filed under: uncultured bacterium
Lineage: Bacteria
Description: partial 16S ribosomal RNA
Rfam family: Bacterial small subunit ribosomal RNA
Source: RNAcentral